Bos taurus (domestic cattle) is the source of this 3367-nucleotide long non-coding RNA. The record is from Ensembl. Lineage: Eukaryota; Metazoa; Chordata; Mammalia; Artiodactyla; Bovidae.
AAUUGUGGCUGGACAAGGUUCGCAUGUCCUCCAGCUGCACAGAGCCUGAACAAUGAGAUGCUUGACCCAGCUCUCUUCCAGAGUCUUAGACCAGCUGUGUCUAGCUGGAGCUGAACUGGUUGAGACUGGAUAGGACCACUGACCCUCCAUCUGGGCACGUGCGAGUGUCCCGCAGCUUGGUGACCUUUUGACUUCAAAGGGUGGAAAACUUCACCGUAAGACUGCGCCAAGUACCUCCCUUCUUAAGGUGCACAGGCCUGUGGCUGAGCUGCGCCUGCGCAGAAUGAGGAGGCCCCCCCACCUGCUUCCCAUUACCUUUCCCGCAAUCCCUGUGCUCCCUGAACCUGUGAGGCCAGCUCAUCCAGGAACACCCUAGCCCCUUUCUUCUGGGAGCUGCACCUGAGACUUUGUUCUCUUUCUGCAUUAAGCUGCCUUGUCCACAAGUCCCAUCUCAGAGCAUGGGGGCUCAGUGUUCAGCCUGCUGGGUGUCGGACAAAAACAAACUUUGUUCCUUAACGUUAAUCCUUGACUCACCUGCAGUUGCCCUGCUCAUUUAUUCUAAGUCUGUGCUUCCUAUGUAAGCUGUCUCUUCUAAAUAACAUCAAGACCUCUCAGAGAUCCCUCUUUAAUGUCUAGACUUGUCAUAAAACUUCUGCAUCCUGCCUCUCAAUACCAGAUCCCAGCCAAGUCCUAGCUCCUUUCACCUUUAAUUUAGAGCAUGUUUAUGAAAGUGAAAUAUUAAAGAACUGAAGCAGACCUGUAACUAUGAAGAAUUAAGACAAGUUAAAGGUUUUUCCAAUAGUCAUGUAUGGAUGGACAUAAGAGUUGGACCAUUAAAGAAGGCUGAGCACCAAAGAAUUGAUGCUUUCAAACUGUGGUACUGGAGAAGUGUCUCCCUUGGACAGCAAAGAGAUCAAACCAGUCAAUCCUAAAGGAAAUCAACCCCAAAUAUUCAUUGGAGGGACUGAUCCUGAAGCUGAAGCUCCAAUACUUUGGCCACCUGAUGCAAAGAGCAGACUCAUUGGAAAAGAUCCUGAUGCUGGGAAAAGAUUGAAGGCAAAAGGAGAAGGGAGUGACAGAGGAUGAGAUGGUUAGAUAGCAUCACCAACUCAGUGAACAUGAAUUUGAGCAAACUCCGGGAGAUAAUGAAGGACAGAUCAGCCUGGUGUGGUGCAGUCCACAGGGUGGCAAAGAGUCAGACUCGACUUAGCAACUGAACAACAAGGUCUCAAAUAGUUUUCAAAUGUCUUGGUUUCAAGGACCUUUUCACACUCUUAAAGAUAAGUGAGAACUCAAAGAGAGGUGUUUUAUAUCAGUUAUGUCUACUAGUAUUUAUGUUAUUAGAAGUGGAGAAAUGUUAAAAUAUGUAUCCAUUUUAAAAUAAUAAAUCCAUUUUGUGUUAAUAGAUGAUAUUUUUGUUAAAAAAUGGUUUAUUUUCCAAAACCAAAAGGUGAAAACAGUAACACUGUCUUACAUUUAAGAAAAAUCUCUUUAGUGUCUAGAAUAAUAGAAAAGCAGAUGAGUUUUAAUAUCUGCUUUGCAUUCAAUCUGUUGUGGUAUAUUAUCUUGGCUGAAGUAUAUGAAGAAAAUCAUCUCACACAGACAUGUAGUUGGAAAAGAAAAGAAUAUUUUUCACAAAAUUUUGAGCAUUGUUUAACACGGCACUAAAACUCCACUAGUGAUUUAUGGGGACUCUGAAGCUGUUAUCAACAUUCUUCUCACACUCACAUAUUGUUGAGCAUUGACUUGCAUCUCACACUUAUGAUUUAAAUUAUGAUUGUGAUGGGCUUCCCCACAGGUCAGCAGGUAAAGAAUUCGCCGGCAACGCAGGAGACACAAAAAGACGUGGUUUCAAUCCCUGGGUCAGGAAGAUCCCCUGGAGAAGGAAAUGGCAACCCACUCUAGUAUUCUUGCCUGAAAAAUUUCAUGGACAGAGGAGCCUGGCAAACUACAGUCCGUGGGGUCUCAGAGUUGGACGCGACUGAGCAACUGAACACAAUGAUUGUAAUAUGAUGCAUCAGUCAUUUGAAAAAUGUUGGCUCACUGGAUUGAUUACACAGAUCUUUUAAGCACUGACAUAUUUCAUCAUAUAAUCCCCGAAAAACCUCCUUCAUUCAUACAACCACUAAUGUCACAAUACUUAAAAAUCUUGGAGGGUUAGAAAACUGAAAAGCUUACAGUGGGAAAGACACGUUUUCCAUUAUUCUAAUUUUCACUUGAAAAGUUGACUUUUGUUAUUGGCAGAAAUAAUUUCAGUUGAAGUAUUUUUCCUUGAAGUGGAAACCUCUUUUGGUCUUUGAGAAAAUAUCUGCGAAAUCCAUAAGCCUGAUUAGCUAUGGUUAGUCUCUCAGUCACAUCCCAUAAAAUAAACUGUUAGUUGGGCUUGUAACCCACAGAAUUUUUUUUUUUUUGGACUGUGUCACAUGCAGGAUUUUAGUUUCCCAGUAAGAGAUCAAAGCUGGCCCCUUGCAGUGGAAAUGUGAAGUCUUAACCACUGGACCACCAGGGAAGCCCCCAUGUUUGCAGCUCAAACAGCCACCAGGCAACCAUUGUGCCCCAGUAGCCACUGAAGUGCUUUUCACCUACUUCCAGUGUCACCAUCAAAACAUUGAAAGACAUGUUAAGGGUCAAGAUUCAACAAAAGUAGUGGGUUUUAUGGCUUCCUCAAGGGCAUUUUUAGUGAAAAUAGCAUUUUUAAAUUUUAGGGGUUUUUUGGUUUUGUUUUUUGCUGCACGUGCCCUCUAUUGAACACAAUGGCUGAUAGAAUAGAUUUGACCCACUGGAUUUAUACUAAAGGGCCAGCUGUUCUACUCACUAAGGCUUUUUUGCACCUUCAGAGCAAAUGUCAGCACUGAAAAUGGAAAAUAACAUCUCAGUGUUAUUAGGAAAAUAGUUUGAGCUGAAAUUUCUUGGGGACCACCAGGAGUUUGCAGGCCACACUUUGAGUCACUGUCCUAAACAGUUACAGAGUCAUAGGUCACUGGAUAUGUGAGGAACCCCAAAUAGAAUCACAGCUUUAGAAGAGAUUUUAGAAGAGAUCAUUCAGCAAAAUGAUCUCCAUGUUGUCCCACAUUUUCAAAUAGUAUGGUGUUCUCCAAACUAUAAAUAUGUAAUACAUCUCCCAUUUUACAAUACUAUAGAUGAGUAUUUGCAAUCAGCUAUUUUUCACCCAAUGCAUUCUACCCUAUAUAUAAAUCAAAUUUAAUCCCAUCACUUUUGAUUCUGUUUUCAGUAGAGAUGGAGGUUGGUUAGACCACUUUGCAUAAGAUUCCUAUUUGUAAAAGCAUGUGAAGUUGGUUCUCCCUGCCUUCUGCAUGUGUUUAAUCAUAAUCCUUACAGGUUUGCUUUGACAACCACUUUUAUCCCC